This 184-nucleotide non-coding RNA is filed under the name Clostridium ganghwense. Its description in RNAcentral is "6S RNA". It matches the Rfam family "6S / SsrS RNA". Rfam says of the family: E. coli 6S RNA was the first non coding RNA to be sequenced, but its function was unknown until recently. It consists of 184 nucleotides that fold into an extended hairpin structure with a large single-stranded internal bulge. The record is from RNAcentral. Lineage: Bacteria; Bacillati; Bacillota; Clostridia; Eubacteriales; Clostridiaceae.
AAAUUCCUGUUGUAUUAGUAAAGUGAGUAUAUAUUGACCCAACACUAUUGAAAAAGGGAAUCUAACUCUUUUGGUGGAAUGAGACUUUAGUCAUGUAAUUAAAGUACAAGAAGCAAAAAGGUGAUGCCCACCUGUUAGGGAACAGGUUCAACUAUUACUUGCUAUACGGUGCAGUGGGAAUUUA